This is a long non-coding RNA of Megalobrama amblycephala (Wuchang bream), 900 nucleotides long. RefSeq lists it as uncharacterized. NCBI's taxonomy places the organism in Eukaryota, Metazoa, Chordata, Actinopteri, Cypriniformes, Xenocyprididae. The record is from RefSeq and is a predicted model, not a curated record. The transcript is spliced from 2 exons.
ACACCCCUCUCCGUUUAGACAAGAUUAACUUGUCAAACGACCGGUCCUCCGCCAGACUGGUCUUUCUGAACGGAUCUUAGCGUCUGAUCCUUCAUGGGCCAAUGGCAGAGGCUUAAAGUACAGGGCCGAUCAGAAGGAAAGGAAGGGGGCUGUGGAUUUAGGAUCGUUUUACCUGGAUAUGGAUUAGCGCUUCAGGGUUAAUGCCUUCAUUCAGACUGUCAGUGUGUCGUCAGGAGCAAAGGAUUAGGAGCCCCAGGGAGACGAGCAGGGAGAUGAGACACUGGCAACGGGAGGACAGCUCAUUUUUACACAGGCAGAGAGGGAGGACAGCUCAUCUUUGAUCCGGCAGGGGCUUCGCAGGCCAGAGGGGUGACAGCUGCAUUUUCUUUAGCCCACAUUUGAAUUUGAAUUCUAUCUUAUGAUGCAGCUAUGUGCCGGCUUGGCAGGGCAGUGGGGUAAUCUGCUCUACACAAACGCCCGGGCUUUCUUCCUGUGUGCCCUCACAGAGAUUUAAGUAAUUAAACUUAAAUUGAAUGCAUAAAAAACCUCACUUGUACCGGUGGCUGUCUUGCUCGUGCCAGGAGUGAAUAGUCAGGGGCUGUCCUCUCUCUCUCUAAUCCCUCUUACUAUUUCUGCCCUCCUGACUUUGGCUGGCCUUGCGCUGGAAGCUCGGCAUUCCUCUCCAGACAUCUUUGCAAGCUGGAGAACCAAACUUCUGAACUCCCACAGUUAAUUGGAAUAAACAUCUGUGUUGCUUGUCUGCCACUGAAGAAUUCUGCUCCUGCAGUUUCAUACAGCAAAGCCAAGAUUACAUCACAUAUGAUUACUGAUGCUAAUUUCAGCCAUUAAAGAUGUGAACUAUAAAAACUUUCUUAAUAAACGUUCCUGGUCUUAUAUAUA